This 261-nucleotide ribosomal RNA is filed under the name Bacillus sp. (in: firmicutes). Its description in RNAcentral is "Bacillus sp. (in: Bacteria) partial 16S ribosomal RNA". It matches the Rfam family "Bacterial small subunit ribosomal RNA", at positions 56 to 307 of the family's 1533-position model. The record is from RNAcentral. Lineage: Bacteria; Bacillati; Bacillota; Bacilli; Caryophanales; Bacillaceae.
UGCAAGUCGAGCGAAUGAUGAGGAGCUUGCUCCUCUGAUUUAGCGGCGGACGGGCGAUUAACACGUGGGCAACCUGCCCUGUAGACUGGGAUAACUUCGGGAAACCGGAGCUAAUACCGGAUAAUCCAUUUCACCUCAUGGUGAAAUGUUGAAAGGCGCUUUCAGGCGUCACUACAGGAUGGGCCCGCGGUGCAUUAGCUAGUUGGUGGGGUAACGGCCUACCAAGGCGACUAUGCAUAGCCGACCUGAAAGGGUGAUCGG